GCAAGGAAAAUGCCAGUGACUGCAAGUCUUGCCAACCCACAUUGGCCAGGACCUGUGUUACCCUUCAGCCCUCUAAGGAAAUGGGAGGAGCUGCUCUCCUGAAAAUGAGGGUCAAGUAACUGCAGACAGACAUCACAGAAACCAACUAGGGCCCCCAGGGCAGGCAGAGCCUGAGUGACGCUGCCAUGGGCCCCCAGCUCCUGGGCUGUUUCCUGUUUUGUCUCCUGGCAGCAGGCCCCCUGGAAGCUGAUGUGACCCAGAGCCCAAGACACCGCAUCACAGAGACCAGAAAGAGGGUGACAUUGACCUGUUCUCAGAAUAUGAACCACGAUGUGAUGUACUGGUAUCGACAAGACCCAGGGCUGGGUCCAAAGCUGAUCUACUUUUCAAGGAAUGUUGGGUUUAUUGAAAAAGGAGAUAUCCCUGAUGGAUACACUGCCUCUCGAGAAGAGAAACCAAACUUCCCCCUGACCUUGGAGUUGGCCAGCACCAACCAGACCUCCUUGUACCUCUGUGCCAGCAGUGAAUACACAGCGUGACACAGCCAGCUGCUCUCUGCACAAAAAGGGCAGCCACAAGAGAGGAGGCUCCUCCCUUGGGAGGCCCCACCCAGCCAAGAGGACAAACUUCCCCACCAUCAGAGACUCCAGGAGUCCUCCUUUGCCUCCCCAGCUUUGGGGGGUCUGAGCAAGGCAACCCCUUGGCAACGUGUUCCCCUCUUACUUCCAGUACCCAUGAGCUUUUCAAAGUGUAGGCAGGACACGCUCCCUGUGUGAAGUCUAGCACCAAGGGUAAAGAAUUUCUUUCCUAGAAAAGGAAUUUUAUGCAUACUGCAAUCCUUCGUCCUCACUGAGCUUCACUGUAGCCCAAACUGAAGAUUUCAUUUUCAGCCCAAUCACUCAACCAAAUUUCAAUCCCACCUGCUAGGACCUAUUACUGGAGGUUUUGACACUUGGGGAGAAUAGCACAUCUAAGUUGUUAACUAAAUCUAAUAUCUCUCCCAUUUCCCUCAUCUGUGCAAGUGGUCUGCCAUCCAGCCAAACACACAAGCCAGAGAUGUAGGAGUCGUGCUCACCAUCUCAGACAUACUCUUCCUCCACACUUAAUCCACCACCAUCGCCUGCAUGCUUCUUAGUAUUAAAUUCCUUGCAAAUUUUACCAAUUUUCCUAAUCUCACUGAAAACACUGUGAUCUGAUAUGUGGUCUCCCACCACCUUCCAAUGUGCUCCCUGCCCCCACCCACAAACCACUCUGGAGCCUAAAACCCAUCAGUGUCUUUCAUUUACUUAAAGUCACAAGUUUAUGGUAGUUCAC
Bubalus bubalis (water buffalo) is the source of this 1314-nucleotide non-coding RNA. The record is from the annotation of a RefSeq genome assembly. Lineage: Eukaryota; Metazoa; Chordata; Mammalia; Artiodactyla; Bovidae.